UUUCCGUAGGUGAACCUGCGGAAGGAUCAUUCAUACUAAAGUGUUUUAUGGCACUUUUUAAAAAUCCAUAUCCACCUUGUGUGCAAUGUUAGAUCUCGUCAAUCUUGGCGAGAUUUUUAUACAUCAACUCAUUCUUUAACUAAUUUGUCUGAAAAAUAUUAUGAAUACUUAAUUCAAAAUACAACUUUCAACAACGGAUCUCUUGGCUCUC
Molecule: unclassified non-coding RNA, 211 nt
Filed under: plant metagenome
Description: partial contains small subunit ribosomal RNA, internal transcribed spacer 1, and 5.8S ribosomal RNA
Source: RNAcentral